AGAGUUUGAUCCUGGCUCAGGACGAACGCUGGCGGCGUGCCUAAGACAUGCAAGUCGAGCGGACCACUUCGGUGGUUAGCGGCGGACGGGUGAGUAACACGUGGAUAACCUGCCUUGUGCUCUGGGAUAACAAGCCGAAAGGCUUGCUAAUACCGGGUGAGCUCACGGGCCCGCAUGGGUCCGGGAGAAAAGGCGCUGCAAGGCGCUGGGACAAGAGGGGUCCGCGGCCCAUUAGCUAGUUGGAGGGGUAACGGCUCACCAAGGCGACGAUGCGUAGCCGACCUGAGAGGGUGAUCGGCCACAUUGGAACUGAGACACGGUCCAGACUCCUACGGGAGGCAGCAGUGGGGAAUAUUGCACAAUGGGCGAAAGCCUGAUGCAGCAACGCCGCGUGAGUGAUGAAGGCCUUCGGGUUGUAAAGCUCUGUCUUUGGGGACGAUAAUGACGGUACCCAAGGAGGAAGCCACGGCUAACUACGUGCCAGCAGCCGCGGUAAUACGUAGGUGGCGAGCGUUGUCCGGAUUUACUGGGCGUAAAGGAUGCGUAGGCGGAUAUUUAAGUGAGAUGUGAAAUACCCGGGCUUAACUUGGGUGCUGCAUUUCAAACUGGAUAUCUAGAGUGCGGGAGAGGAGAAUGGAAUUCCUAGUGUAGCGGUGAAAUGCGUAGAGAUUAGGAAGAACACCAGUGGCGAAGGCGAUUCUCUGGACCGUAACUGACGCUGAGGCAUGAAAGCGUGGGUAGCAAACAGGAUUAGAUACCCUGGUAGUCCACGCCGUAAACGAUGAGUACUAGGUGUAGGG
Molecule: ribosomal RNA, 800 nt
Filed under: uncultured Eubacteriales bacterium
Lineage: Bacteria; Bacillati; Bacillota; Clostridia; Eubacteriales
Description: bacterial SSU rRNA
Rfam family: Bacterial small subunit ribosomal RNA
Source: RNAcentral